RNAcentral lists this ribosomal RNA (460 nucleotides) under uncultured bacterium. Its description in RNAcentral is "partial 16S ribosomal RNA". It matches the Rfam family "Bacterial small subunit ribosomal RNA", at positions 338 to 795 of the family's 1533-position model. The record is from RNAcentral.
CCUACGGGUGGCAGCAGUGAGGAAUAUUGGUCAAUGGACGAGAGUCUGAACCAGCCAAGUAGCGUGAAGGAUGACUGCCCUAUGGGUUGUAAACUUCUUUUAUAUGGGGAUAAAACGUUCCACGUGUGGGAUUUUGUAUGUACCAUAUGAAUAAGGAUCGGCUAACUCCGUGCCAGCAGCCGCGGUAAUACGGAGGAUCCGAGCGUUAUCCGGAUUUAUUGGGUUUAAAGGGAGCGUAGGUGGAUUGUUAAGUCAGUUGUGAAAGUUUGCGGCUCAACCGUAAAACUGCAGUUGAAACUGGCAGUCUUGAGUACAGUAGAGGUGGGCGGAAUUCGUGGUGUAGCGGUGAAAUGCUUAGAUAUCACGAAGAACUCCGAUUGCGAAGGCAGUUCACUGGACUGCAACUGACACUGAGGCUCGAAAGUGUGGGUAUCAAACAGGAUUAGAUACCCCAGUAGUC